Molecule: non-coding RNA, 402 nt
Organism: Peromyscus californicus insignis
Lineage: Eukaryota; Metazoa; Chordata; Mammalia; Rodentia; Cricetidae
Source: the annotation of a RefSeq genome assembly
AUGAAGUGUCUUGCUCAGUUCCUGGGGCUGCUUGUGUUUUGGAUCCCUGGAGCCAGUGGGGAUAUUGUGAUGACCCAACCUGCACUCUCCAGUCCUGUCACUCUUGGAGAGUCAGCUUCCAUCUCCUGCAGGUCCAGUAAGAGUCUAGUAAGGUCUAGGAAGGUUCUCCACCUCAGCAAAAGUGACACUUACUUGAAUUGGUACCUGCAGAGACCAGGCCAGUCUCCUCAGCUCCUGAUCUAUCUGAUGUCCAACCUUGCCUCAGGAGUCCCAAACAGGUUCAGUGGCAGUGGGUCAGGAACGGAUUUCACACUGAAAAUCAGUAGAGUGGAGGCUGAGGAUAUUGGCGUUUAUUACUGUCAGCAGUGGCUAGAAAAUCCUCCCACAGUGAUACAUCCCUGA